GUCUAUGGUCAUACCACCUUGAAUGUGCCUGAUCUUGUCUGGUCCCAGAAGCUAAGCAGAAUGGGGCUGGUUAGUGCUUGGGUGGGAGACUGCCUGGGAAUACUGGGUGCUGUAGGCC
Molecule: ribosomal RNA, 118 nt
Filed under: Prolemur simus (greater bamboo lemur)
Lineage: Eukaryota; Metazoa; Chordata; Mammalia; Primates; Lemuridae
Source: RNAcentral